Impatiens glandulifera is the source of this 710-nucleotide long non-coding RNA. RefSeq lists it as uncharacterized. Lineage: Eukaryota; Viridiplantae; Streptophyta; Magnoliopsida; Ericales; Balsaminaceae. The transcript has 6 exons. The record is from RefSeq and is a predicted model, not a curated record.
AACUUAUUUACAUGCCUCUCUCUGAAUGCAUACUUAUCUUGCAUUGAUUUUUUGAGCAAAUAUAUAUAUGUAGUUUGUUUUAACAAUGCGACAAUUCGUCGUCUAAGAUUUUGACUCGUUUUGUUAUUGAGACCGAAUUUGUAUAAUCUGGUGACAAUGCUGCGACAAAUCCUUUUGCAAAGUGCUAGGGACCAAAAUAAUAUACUUCAGCGAUUUACUUUGCAGAGGAAUUCACAGUAGAAACAAGAAGGCGAAGGAGUACAUAGCCAAAUGUUGGAAUUCUUUGAAGGAAAUUGAUAGAGUAAGGGAUUAUUGGGACUACAAUGACGUAAAGUUGAUUCCUUUCUUACGGAUGGGCUGUUUUAUUGGUUGAAGCUACAUCAUGGGUAGAGUUGAUAAUAAAUAUGUUCAGUCGGAUCAUCAAGCAUUCUAUUAUUUGGAGAAGGCUAUUGAUAAGUAUUGAGUAUUAAUGACAGUAUUGAUGACUGGCUGUAGUAUCUAAAGCUCUAUUUUUGGAUUUAAUUCAUUCCAGGAUCCAAGAUGAAGCUGGUGUCCAAGAAGAAGAUUAGUGGAUGACAACCAUUGUAGUUUUGUUCAAAAAUUGUUUUUUUUUUGACAACCAUUGUAGUUUUGUUCAAAAAUUUUUUUUUUUUUACAACCAUUGUAGUUUUGUUCAAAAAUUAUCUUUUUUGUUUGAAAUAUUUUUAUGU